This 62-nucleotide transfer RNA is filed under the name Ictidomys tridecemlineatus (thirteen-lined ground squirrel). RNAcentral's name for it is "Spermophilus tridecemlineatus (thirteen-lined ground squirrel) tRNA". It matches the Rfam family "tRNA". Rfam says of the family: Transfer RNA (tRNA) molecules are approximately 80 nucleotides in length. The record is from Rfam by way of RNAcentral. Lineage: Eukaryota; Metazoa; Chordata; Mammalia; Rodentia; Sciuridae.
GGGGAUGUAGCUCAGUGGUAGAGUGCUUGCCUGGCAUGCAUGAUAUCCUGCAUUCAACUCCC